This 2530-nucleotide unclassified non-coding RNA is filed under the name Pollicipes pollicipes. Its description in RNAcentral is "arylsulfatase B-like, transcript variant X2". Lineage: Eukaryota; Metazoa; Arthropoda; Thecostraca; Pollicipedomorpha; Pollicipedidae. The record is from RNAcentral.
GCGCUGUGCCUCGCGCUGGGCAUGCUGAGCUCGUGCCAGCAGCCGGCCGCCGCAGCCGCGAGCCGCAGGCACGACAGGGGCAGCGGAGCCGACCGGCCUCCACACAUCAUCAUCAUCGUGGCCGAUGACCUGGGCUGGAACGACGUGGGCUUUCACGGCUCGGGCCAGGUGCCGACACCCAACAUCGACGCGCUGGCCUUCAGCGGCGUCACGCUGGACCGCUAUUACGUGCAGCCCGUCUGCACGCCGUCGCGCUCGGCCCUCAUGACCGGCAAAUACCCCAUCCACACGGGCAUGCAGGAGCACGUAAUCCUGGCGGCCGAACCGUACGGCCUCUCGCUGCAGGAGACGCUGAUGCCGCAGAGACUGAACGCGCUCGGAUACGUCUCCCACGCGGUCGGCAAGUGGCACCUGGGCAGUUACAAAAAAGCUUACACUCCCUCUCAGCGAGGAUUUCAAUCCCAUUUCGGUUACUGGAGCGGGAAGAAAGACUAUUACGACCAUACGAAUGAAGAUCGGCACGGCUACUGGGGUUACGACCUGCGCCGCGACAUGGAGGAGGCGCGCGGCGCGUUCGGCCAGUACUCCACCGACCUGUUCACGCAAAAGGCCGUGGAGAAGAUUGUGGCGCACAACGCCUCGCGGCCGAUGUUCCUCUACCUGGCGCACCUGGCGGUGCACUCGGCCAACGAGUACGAGCCGCUGCAGGCACCGGCCGCCUCCAUCGACAAGUUCUCCCACAUUGCCGACGGCAACAGGAGACGCUUCGCCGGAAUGCUGUCGAAGUUGGACGAGUCGGUGGGCCAGGUGACGGCCGCGCUGCACGAGACCGGCAUGCUGGACAACAGCGUCAUCGUGUUCACCACUGACAACGGCGGGCCGGCCGCCUCCUUCGACUUCAACGCCGCCUCCAACUGGCCACUGAGGGGGGUGAAGAGCCUGCUGUGGGAGGGAGGCGUCCGCGGAGCCGGCUUCGUGUGGAGCCCGCUGCUGAAGCAGCGCUCGUAUGUGUCCAGCAACCUGAUGCAUAUCACCGACCUGCUGCCGACCCUGCUCUCGGCGGCGGGUGGUGAUCCAGGCACUCUCGGCGAUAUCGAUGGCAUUGACAUGUGGAGUGCAUUAUCCAACAAGCUCCCGUCGCCCAGAAAGGAAAUUCUACUUAACAUUGAGCCUAGCACGGGAUACCGGGCAUUGAUCGAAGGCAACUUUAAAUUUAUUGAGGGCUCAAGCCUGAACGAGGGUUGGAGCGGCUGGUUCGGCCCAUCCGGCAGGAACGACACCCGGUAUGAUCUCUACCAGCUGAUGAGCACGUCUCACGCCGGCCGCGCCAUGCGCCAGAUGAACAUGUCGGUCACCGAGGACCAGUGGAAAACGCUGAGGAGCCAGCAGAGCAUCACGUGCCAGAAGAAGCCGUCACCGCGGCGCACGUGCCUGAAGACCGCCUGCCUGUUCGACCUGCUGCGGGACCCGUGCGAGUACAGCGACCUGUCGGCGGCCAUGCCGGCCGUCACGAGCAAACUGCGCCGCCGCAUGGAGGAGUUCCAGCGCGGCAUGGUGCCGCCCCGCAACAAGCCAGUCGACCCGCGAGCCAACCCCAAGAACUGGGGCUAUGCCUGGGUCAACUGGGGCGAUCUCGUGCACCCACCCCUGCCCUAGGAGUGACCGGCACAGCCUAAGGCCGCUGCCGGAGUGUCAGGCUAAAGCGACGAGGCUGUGACAUGGAGCAAGGUCGGUGUCGCGGAGGGCGGGGUGGCUUUGAUACUCGUUGCUCCGAGUGCGAGCCUUGAUAAAACCUGCCUGUUGCCUUGUGUGACGGCUGAGCUCCUUGUAUAGCGUAUAUCCAAAAGAUGCCACGAAGCAUAGCGAGAAUGUAAUGCUUUACUGAAUGGCGAAGGUAGUGGUAAUUUAAUUGGAUAUCGGUGGGUUGAGGGCGGAACCAUUUGUAGGCGGUGUGGCGCCUGAAUAAUCAUGCCCUGUCUGUGAUUAUGAGCCGCAGGACGCGUGUUAUGAAAGAGUAUUGAGCAAAAGCUCGACUUUUUUGGCAAAAACAGCUCUGCGCAAAAAGGCUGAGGAAGGAAUACGACGCCACCUGCGCCAUUGCAUCGUGGAUAAGUAGCACUUUGGUGGUUUCCAACCAAGUUACUGUAAACGCGCCGAGCUACGACUUCCUAAACGGGCGGGCGUUUUUACCACGAAGGUAUGGCGUUUUCAUCCUGUUUAGGGCAACGUCGAGAGCAGCCUUAAGUUUUGCUAUCACAACUGAAAGCGUGCGUACUAAUUGUGCCAUCUCCUAAACAAUCACAGCAUGACUUACCCCACUCGUGUAACGCGACUUCGCACAUACACGCAGUUUUUCUUGCAGUCUUUCUUAACGGAAAGGCGAUUCUCGCAUUUCUUCAUGCGUUUCCGGUCUAUCUUUACAUGUUUGCAUCAUAUGUACACCCACCUCCGGUGACAGCAGCGAAUCAGCCAUUCCACGAAUAUGGGCGACGAUGGAAUCGUAGCAUGGAACAAUCUAAUCAUUACGGUG